RNAcentral lists this ribosomal RNA (276 nucleotides) under uncultured bacterium. RNAcentral's name for it is "partial 16S ribosomal RNA". It matches the Rfam family "Bacterial small subunit ribosomal RNA", at positions 44 to 334 of the family's 1533-position model. The record is from RNAcentral.
GUGCCUAACACAUGCAAGUCGCACGAGAAAGUGGAGCAAUCCAUGAGUAAAGUGGCGCACGGGUGAGUAACACGUGAAUCAUCUACCUCCGAGUGGGGAAUAACCUAGAGAAAUCUGGGCUAAUACCGCAUAACACUUACGAGUCAAAGCAGCAAUGCGCUUGGAGAGGAGUUCGCGGCCGAUUAGCUAGUUGGCGGGGUAAUGGCCCACCAAGGCGAUGAUCGGUAUCCGGCCUGAGAGGGCGCACGGACACACUGGAACUGAAACACGGUCCAG